Branchiostoma floridae (Florida lancelet) is the source of this 287-nucleotide long non-coding RNA. RefSeq lists it as uncharacterized. The record is from RefSeq and is a predicted model, not a curated record. The transcript has 2 exons. NCBI's taxonomy places the organism in Eukaryota, Metazoa, Chordata, Leptocardii, Amphioxiformes, Branchiostomatidae.
GUUGUUUUUAAAAGCAGGGUAUUUAGGAAUGUUAGGAGGACAGAUGGUAGUCUCAAACUUUUUUGAAAAUAUUACAGUUUGAAACCUUUCGUUGAAUUGGUAAUCCUAAACAUGAUGUUCUAAAUACAAUGGAUAUAGGUUACCCCGCAAACUGACUGGUGAACUGACGUUACAUUGAUACUGGUGUAAGGUGUAACAAAAUUAUCAGUAUUUGAUAUGAAGUGUUGAACAAUGCAAAUGAUGUUAGACUUCCAGUGUAAUAAAAAAAAGUGUGUGGAGUUCAGUGU